ACGAGCCGUGCUGUUAAGCCUAACACCAAUUCCUGUUCAUGCCACAUCUGCUGAAAUGAAAAAUGGCGUGUUCGGGCAAAGUGGAUAGGGUAUUCUCAAUAGAAAACAUAUAGGGGAAGGUGGCCCAAAGUGGAUCAGAGCCUAAAGUGAAUCAAUGAAAAUAUCUCAAUGAUUCUGACAGAGGUCAGCACUCGCUCUCCAUAUGUGCUGUGCUCUAGAGUAACCUUAAAUGUACACGUGUCGAUUUUGUGUGCGGCAAAUAACCAGCAAGAAAAAGGUAAUAUCCAAAAUUUAUGCGAUUUGCUAAAAUAUUUCACCUCUAAAUGAUCUUGUGUGAUUAGUAAAUGAAUCAGAUCAUGAUUGCACGUAAAAUCUAAUUCAAAUACGGUGUCCAAGGCCUUCAGAACGAGACGCGUUGUUAAGCGUAACACCUGUACAUGCCACAUCUGCUGAAAUAAAAAAUGGCGUGUUCGGGCAAAGUGGAUAAGGUAAAGUUGGUCAAUGAUCCACUUUAGCCUGUUUAUCAAUGGUUGGUUGUUAAGUGUUUUGAUUUUUUCUUUACAGAUAAGUGUAAUGGUAAAUAAAUACAAAUCUAAAAAUUUGCACGGCAAAUGGUCUGAGGCCAGCCUUGCUGCUGCAAUGGCUGCUGUUAAAAAAGGGGUAGUAACCAUCCGGAAAGCUUCAUCAUCAUACGGCAUACCGUUUAGCACACUCAUCGCCAUUUAAAGACUGGUUCUUCUGCAAAGCAACUUUGUCGUUUUAGGACAGUCUUCUCAAAAAUGGAAGAAGAACUAGUAGCAUACAUAAAGGAAAUGGACAGCAACCCUUCUGUAUCCACAACCCAGGAGGUAUCUUGCGUCGGUUGUGGGGAAGAGUACUGUGAACUCAUUGUAGAAGAUUGGAUUCAGUGUGCUUCUUGCACUCUAUGGGCCCAUGAAAAUUCUACUCCGUAUGAAGGAGUUGGAGUGUUUUAUUGCAGUGGAUGCAAAAGAUAAAACUUAAUUAAAAUAAAUUACUUUUCUUUUCUAUUGGAACAAGUAUUUCUUUUGUAAAAGUAAUGCAAUUGAGAAAUAAAGGUUUAACAGCUCUUGAAAACCGAUAAACUUUAAUUUAUUCAUAAAAGGGAAAAAAUAAACCAUUUAAAAAUAUGUGAUCCACUUUGUCCUUGUUCAUGAUCCACUUUAUACCGAAUUGCGGGCAUAGCGGAUCAGUUGCAAACUUUUAGAAAAGCUGCAAAAUUACUUAUUUCCACUAAUUUGCACGGUUUGGUAUUUAUUCCACAUAUAGCUAAUAAACUAUGAAGCAGAUGAUACAGGUUUUAUAUUAAUUAUCAUUUUAUUCUGUUUAUUUCAGUCUAUUUUUCCUUAAGUGAUUUACUUUGGGCCACCUUCCCCUACAGAGAUUGUUUCACCUUCCCAGCAAACCAGAGCUACUUCUGGAAAUAAUAACUAUAACGUAAAAAAAGAGCUCUUGAAUUUAUAGCAGUUACUAUCAGGUGUCGACAUUCAUAAUAACUGAAUAUUUUGAUAAAAAAUUAAUAUCAGUACUGAGCAAAAUUAACCAGCAAGAAUGGAUAUCAGUAUUAAACUAUACGGUAAUUUGCCUGACUGACACCUGGUGUACAGACGAUGACAAUACCUCUACUCAAUGUAUGAUCACUGUGCAUACGCACUUGUACAGAUCCACUGACCAAAGAAGAGAUGAGGAAGGGUAUUUAUCGGUUAUUGAUAUAGUUCCUAUUCUGUCUCUAUAUUGUUAUUACGGAAGGAUCGCUAAUUGUUCUGCGUUUUACAAAAAUACAUUUAAUUAUUGUGUGCAUCUAUGUCUCCUAGUGAGCUAGAUACUGAUAAAAUCAAUUCAAUAAUUAAAUUCAAUGGAAUUUUAAAUAAAUAUAUCCAUCAUCAGUUUAUUUUUGUUAUAAAAAUUUUUAUGUUUAAAUCGCUGAUGAUGGAUAUAAAUAUAUCCAUCAUCAGCGAUUUCAAUUUUUAUAGCAUUUCUUGGUCAGAUCGACAACCGAUUUACAUACAUGAACACACGUUGGUUACACAUUCAUAUAUAGACGUGUGUGUGUGUGUGUGUGUGUGUGUGUGUGUGUGUG
RNAcentral lists this long non-coding RNA (2098 nucleotides) under Androctonus crassicauda. Lineage: Eukaryota; Metazoa; Arthropoda; Arachnida; Scorpiones; Buthidae. The record is from RNAcentral.